This 424-nucleotide ribosomal RNA is filed under the name uncultured bacterium. RNAcentral's name for it is "bacterial SSU rRNA". It matches the Rfam family "Bacterial small subunit ribosomal RNA", at positions 356 to 773 of the family's 1533-position model. The record is from RNAcentral.
GGGGAAUAUUGCACAAUGGGCGAAAGCCUGAUGCAGCAACGCCGCGUGAGUGAAGAAGGUUUUCGGAUUGUAAAGCUCUGUUGCCAGGGAAGAACGUCCUGUAGAGUAACUGCUACAGGAGUGACGGUACCUGAGAAGAAAGCCCCGGCUAACUACGUGCCAGCAGCCGCGGUAAUACGUAGGGGGCAAGCGUUGUCCGGAAUUAUUGGGCGUAAAGCGCGCGCAGGCGGCUGUGUAAGUCUGGUGUUUAAUCCUGGGGCUCAACUCCGGGUCGCACUGGAAACUGGACGGCUUGAGUGCAGAAGAGGAGAGUGGAAUUCCACGUGUAGCGGUGAAAUGCGUAGAGAUGUGGAGGAACACCAGUGGCGAAGGCGACUCUCUGGGCUGUAACUGACGCUGAGGCGCGAAAGCGUGGGGAGCAAAC